RNAcentral lists this ribosomal RNA (468 nucleotides) under uncultured bacterium. RNAcentral describes it as "partial 16S ribosomal RNA". It matches the Rfam family "Bacterial small subunit ribosomal RNA", at positions 28 to 507 of the family's 1533-position model. The record is from RNAcentral.
GACGAACGCUGGCGGCGUGCUUAACACAUGCAAGUCGAACGGAAAGGCCCUGCUUUUGUGGGGUGCUCGAGUGGCGAACGGGUGAGUAACACGUGAGUAACCUGCCCUUGACUUUGGGAUAACUUCAGGAAACUGGGGCUAAUACCGGAUAGGAGCUCCUGCUGCAUGGUGGGGGUUGGAAAGUUUCGGCGGUUGGGGAUGGACUCGCGGCUUAUCAGCUUGUUGGUGGGGUAGUGGCUUACCAAGGCUUUGACGGGUAGCCGGCCUGAGAGGGUGACCGGCCACAUUGGGACUGAGGUACGGCCCAGACUCCAACGGGAGGCAGCGGUGGGGAAUAUUACACAAUGGGCGGAAGCCUGAUGCGGCAACGCCGCGUGCGGGAUGACGGCCUUCGGGUUGUAAACCACUUUCGCCUGUGACGAAGCGUGAGUGACGGUAAUGGGUAAAGAAGCACCGGCUAACUACGUG